Harpia harpyja (harpy eagle) is the source of this 1809-nucleotide long non-coding RNA. RefSeq lists it as uncharacterized. The transcript is spliced from 2 exons. NCBI's taxonomy places the organism in Eukaryota, Metazoa, Chordata, Aves, Accipitriformes, Accipitridae. The record is from RefSeq and is a predicted model, not a curated record.
GAGAGAUGGCUCAGAAAUGCUGCUUUGCAAGCGAGCUGGAAGUGCCUCAAUUCGGAUCACGGCAAUAAGCGGGCUCAAGGAGGCAGAAGACAUUUUAAUGCUGGGGUGGCUGUUUAAUACAGACAAAUCCUUCCCGGGUCACUUCUGAAGCCCUGUGUGCUCCGAGCACAGGCUCGCAAAGAAAAAAAAUGCAGUAGAUGAGCUGGGUUUCCCAGGAGAAAAGCCCGAAAGGGGAGAAGAGGAGCUCCGGCCGCUGCGCCGCACAGAGCCGCCUUUCAUUACAAAGGGCCGGGAAGCGGCUCGGAGCUGCCAGCAACACCGACACGAUGCAAGAGGGGAUUUUUCAGGCUGAUGCAGCAACAAAGGCAGUUAAAUCUAGCCAGGUAAGAGGCUUUCGAGGUUAGCUGGCCAUUCCCACAGCACAGGCUUCUUUUUCUUUUUUCUUUCUUUUUUUUUUUUCUCUUCUUUUUUUCCCUCCUUUUCUAGGGGGAAUUAUUUUUGGUAAUCCGUGCGUUGCUGCUCGUUGGGCACUGGAGCAGAAGUAAGCAGGUAAGUGGCGCUUUCAUCCCCAGCCUGGCUUCCUACCGUGGCCAGGACUCCAGCGAGGGGCUUUGAGCCUCAAAGGGAAGCGGCAAGGCUGGGCCAAGGCAGCUGGAGCGGCGCUAAGCUCGUGGCAGCUGGGAAUUGUUUAUUUUUUUUUGGUUGAAGUGAUGGCAGCGGAAAGCUACCUGGAGAUGAGCAGCUUUCACACCAAAUGCCUGCUGCACGGGUGGAGGCUGGGUGGGAGGCACCGGGCAUCGCUGGGUGGUUUGGGGUGCUGGCAUACGCCUGGAGGCAGAGCUAGGUGCACCCACCACCUCCUCCUGCCUGGAAAGGUUGGGGGGACGGGGGCACCCCCAGCACCGGGGGGGGGCAGAGAGGUGACCUUGCAGUGUAAGCUGGGCCUGGGUGCUGCUUUGGGUGGCACCCACUGCCCGGCCCCUCCUGGCAGGGCAUAGGGGUGCUGAGAGUGGGAAAGCCACCCAUGACACCCACGUCCAUCAGCCCCCAGGGAGCCCAGCACCCUUGCGUGGGGAGAGGCAGGUGCUGUGAUCCUAGGGCAGGAGGGUGCUCCCAUCGCUGGCUCUGCAGGGAGCCCAGGCAGUUCAGGCAUCUCAGUGCAGUAUUUUGGGGAUGGAGCAGGAUGGAGCCCAGACCUUGAAGCCUGUUGGAGGCCACGAGGGUGUUUCCGAAGGGAUCUGUGUCCCUGAGGACCUGGACGCCAGCCCUGGUCCUCCCUGGGGAGCCACCCUGGGCCAGGGUGGGCUUUGCCCUGGGCGGCUGCCUUCCCACGGUUCGGCCGGGUGGAGGAUGCGCCAACAGCCCGUGACUCAACAUCUUCACCCGGUGCUUCGCAUCAGCAGAGCUCUUCAUCUUGUCCUCCUGGUGAAAGCUUCUCAGACAUCACCCCGCCAAGCCCAGAAGACCCCGCGUUGAUCCAGCCGGUGCAACGAUGCCGUUGCACGGAGUCCAUCCAUCCUCUCGUGAUGCCUUUUGCAUCACCCCAGGCCACGGGCCGUGCCGGUGCCAUGCAGUGCCGGUUGCUUCCUGCAGCCACGUGCCAGCACCCUGCUCCGGUUAACGGUGCAACGAGAGCACCCCACCACGCCGAGCUGCCCGGCACCCUGCCCGGGGACCUCAUGCUCUGUCUCAGCGUGGGGUGAAGGCAACGGAGGAUCCUUCUUCCUCCCCAUCCUCCUCCUCCUCCUCCUCUCCCCCCACCCAGCCAGCAUCCGCCACCGCAACAAGAUUAAACCAAUUGCACUGUUA